GGCAGCAUGGCCGAGUGGUUAAGGCGAUAGAUUCGAAUUGCUUCGCACUCGAAUUCUAUCUAUUCCCCUUGUGGGUCGCAGGUUCGAAUCCUGCUGCUGUCG
Non-coding RNA from Panus rudis PR-1116 ss-1, 102 nucleotides. Lineage: Eukaryota; Fungi; Basidiomycota; Agaricomycetes; Polyporales; Panaceae. The record is from the annotation of a GenBank genome assembly.